UUUGAAAAACAAAACCAAAAC
Non-coding RNA from Caenorhabditis elegans, 21 nucleotides. Lineage: Eukaryota; Metazoa; Nematoda; Chromadorea; Rhabditida; Rhabditidae. The record is from Ensembl.